Molecule: ribosomal RNA, 667 nt
Filed under: uncultured fungus
Lineage: Eukaryota; Fungi
Description: eukaryotic LSU rRNA
Rfam family: Eukaryotic large subunit ribosomal RNA
Source: RNAcentral
UCUAAUAUUGUUCUUAGGGACAAAAAUAUUGACAAUUUGNCCUCAANUCAGGUAGGACUACCCGCUGAACUUAAGCAUAUCAAUAAGCGGAGGAAAAGAAACUAACAAGGAUUCCCCUAGUAACUGCGAGUGAAGCGGGAAAAGCUCAAAUUUAAAAUCUGGUAGUCUUUGGCUGCCCGAGUUGUAAUCUAGAGAAGUGUUAUCCGCGCUGGACCGUGUACAAGUCUCCUGGAAUGGAGCGUCAUAGAGGGUGAGAAUCCCGUCUUUGACACGGACUGCCAGGGCUUUGUGAUGCGCUCUCAAAGAGUCGAGUUGUUUGGGAAUGCAGCUCUAAAUGGGUGGUAAAUUCCAUCUAAAGCUAAAUAUUGGCGAGAGACCGAUAGCGAACAAGUACCGUGAGGGAAAGAUGAAAAGAACUUUGGAAAGAGAGUUAAACAGUACGUGAAAUUGUUGAAAGGGAAACGCUUGAAGUCAGUCGCGUUGGCCGGGGAUCAACCUUGCUUUUCUGCUUGGUGUACUUCCUGGUUGAUGGGUCAGCAUCAAUUUUGACCAGUGGAAAAAGGUCAGGGGAAUGUGGCAUCUUCGGAUGUGUUAUAGCCCUUGGUUGCAUACAUUGGUUGGGAUUGAGGAACUCAGCACGCCGCAAGGCCGGGUUUUUACCACGUUC